CCUGGUGGCUCAGACGGAAAGCGCCUGCCUAUAAUGCAAGAGACCCAGGUUCGAUCCCUGGGUCAGGA
Molecule: transfer RNA, 68 nt
Filed under: Bos taurus (domestic cattle)
Lineage: Eukaryota; Metazoa; Chordata; Mammalia; Artiodactyla; Bovidae
Also listed under: 1 other name
Rfam family: tRNA
About the family: Transfer RNA (tRNA) molecules are approximately 80 nucleotides in length. Their secondary structure includes four short double-helical elements and three loops (D, anti-codon, and T loops). Further hydrogen bonds mediate the characteristic L-shaped molecular structure. tRNAs have two regions of fundamental functional importance: the anti-codon, which is responsible for specific mRNA codon recognition, and the 3' end, to which the tRNAs corresponding amino acid is attached (by aminoacyl-tRNA synthetases). tRNAs cope with the degeneracy of the genetic code in two manners: having more than one tRNA (with a specific anti-codon) for a particular amino acid; and 'wobble' base-pairing, i.e. permitting non-standard base-pairing at the 3rd anti-codon position.
Source: Rfam by way of RNAcentral